GAUGAACGCUGGCGGCGUGCCUAAUACAUGCAAGUCGAGCGAACGGACGAGAAGCUUGCUUCUCUGAUGUUGGCGGCGGACGGGUGAGUAACACGUGGAUAACCUACCUAUAAGACUGGGAUAACUUCGGGAAACCGGAGCUAAUACCGGAUAAUAUUUUGAACCGCAUGGUUCAAAAGUGAAAGACGGUCUUGCUGUCACUUAUAGAUGGAUCCGCGCUGCAUUAGCUAGUUGGUAAGGUAACGGCUUACCAAGGCAACGAUGCAUAGCCGACCUGAGAGGGUGAUCGGCCACACUGGAACUGAGACACGGUCCAGACUCCUACGGGAGGCGGCAGUAGGGAAUCUUCCGCAAUGGGCGAAAGCCUGACGGAGCAACGCCGCGUGAGUGAUGAAGGUCUUCGGAUCGUAAAACUCUGUUAUUAGGGAAGAACAUAUGUGUAAGUAACUGUGCACAUCUUGACGGUACCUAAUCAGAAAGCCACGGCUAACUACGUG
Molecule: ribosomal RNA, 497 nt
Filed under: uncultured bacterium
Lineage: Bacteria
Description: partial 16S ribosomal RNA
Rfam family: Bacterial small subunit ribosomal RNA
Source: RNAcentral